CUAGUUUUAUCGGUGGAUCACUCGGCUGGU
This 30-nucleotide ribosomal RNA is filed under the name Rotylenchulus reniformis. RNAcentral describes it as "partial 5.8S ribosomal RNA". Lineage: Eukaryota; Metazoa; Nematoda; Chromadorea; Rhabditida; Hoplolaimidae. The record is from RNAcentral.